CCUUUUCCAUGACUUUUGCUCAAACAUUGCCGCCAAGGUCCCUGCAGUCGUUGCAUCAGUUGAGUACAGGCUUGCCCCAGAGCAUCGCCUGCCAGCCGCAUACGAUGAUGCCAUGGAAGUGCUGCAUUGGAUCAAGAAAACACAAGAAGACUGGUUACACAAAUACGGUGACUUGUCUCGCUGUUUUUUAAUGGGGGAUAGCUCCGGUGGCAACAUAGCUUACCAUGCAGGAUUGCGUGCAUCUGCGCAAGUUGAUGAUCUGUUUCCAUUGAAGAUCAGAGGGCUGAUACUGAAUUACCCUUUCUUUGGUGGGGUC
RNAcentral lists this long non-coding RNA (316 nucleotides) under Citrus maxima (pomelo). RNAcentral describes it as "long non-coding RNA (CMAX_LNC003998)". Lineage: Eukaryota; Viridiplantae; Streptophyta; Magnoliopsida; Sapindales; Rutaceae. The record is from RNAcentral.